UGGGUGCAGGACCACUACGGGUAGGUCAUGGGCCUCUGGAUCCCCACCCUGCUCAUCGCACUGGGCAUCGUGAGUUUUUUUCUGGGAUCCAGUUCCUAUAGAGUGCAGAAGCCUCUCGGAAGCCCACUGGUAAGUGUUUGCCAGGUCAUCGUCGCGGCUGUCCAGAAGCGGAAUGUAGAUUUGCCUCGUGAUGCUUCUCUUCUUUAUGAGCUACCUGAGGAUGUGCCAAUGGCGGAGGGUACCAAGAAAUUGCAGCAUACACCGGUGAUCUGUUUCCUGGACAAGGCUGCAGUGAUCUCUUCGGCCGAAGAACUUUACUCGCCAUGGAGGCUUUGCACAGUCAUACAACUCGAGGAGCUCAAGAUCGUAAUCGGCAUGCUCCCGAUCUGGGCCACCGGUAACGUCUUCUUCGCCAUCCUCGCGCAGUUCUCCUCGAUGUUCCUGGUGCAAGGAAGGAUGAUGGACAUGAUGGUCGGCACCUUCGCCAUCCCUACGGUGUCCUUGGCUUGCUUUGACGCCGUGAGCGUCAUCCUCUUUGUGCCCGUCUACGACAGGGUGGUCAUCCCGGCAGCGAGGAGGUUCACCGAUAACGAGCGGGGGUUCUCGGAGCUGCGGUGGUUCGGCAUCGGCCAAUCAUGGCUGCUGACACUGGUCAUGGCGGCCGCUGCGGUGGUGGAGACGCGGCGCUUGGUGCUUGGCCGGAUGUGCAUUCUGUGGCACGUGCCACAGUAUCUCCUGGUCGGUGCCAGUGUCGUGUUCGCGUGUGUCGGGCAGUCGGAGUUCUUCUACAAUGAGGCUCCGGUGUCCAUGAGGAGCCUUUGCACUGCGCUAGGGCUCCUCACGGUGUCGCUCGGUAGCUACCUCAGCUCGCUCGUGGUAACCCUGGUGUCCAGCAUCACGACAAGGGGCGUUGAGCCCGGGUGGAUGCCUAACAACCUUAACGUGGGCCACCUCGACCGCUUAUUCUGGCUCGUUGCUGCGCUUAGCUCGUUGAAUCUAGCGGUUUUUGUCUGUUGUGCGAAGAGAUACAAAACCUCGAAGCAGGCUUGUUAG
RNAcentral lists this ribosomal RNA (1053 nucleotides) under Triticum aestivum (bread wheat). RNAcentral describes it as "partial small subunit ribosomal RNA". The record is from RNAcentral. Lineage: Eukaryota; Viridiplantae; Streptophyta; Magnoliopsida; Poales; Poaceae.